This is a non-coding RNA of Camellia sinensis, 638 nucleotides long. The record is from RefSeq and is a predicted model, not a curated record. Lineage: Eukaryota; Viridiplantae; Streptophyta; Magnoliopsida; Ericales; Theaceae.
CCGACGGGCCGAAUCCAGCAGAUGAAUGGGUCAGCAGAGGAAAGAUUCUUUUCAGGUGAAAGCUCAUCCUGUUUUUGGUGCUGGCAAGAAGGCAAAAGAUCCAAUUUUUGGUCUUGCAAUGGGUGGUGGUUCUCAGACCUCAGAUGAUAAUUUCAGGUCCCCAUAUCAUGCAGAAAUUGAGGAUGGCAUAUUUCCAGGGUUCACCGAUUGAAAAAUGCUCUAUAUAUUUUCCAAUAGAUGGUUUUGCAUUGAAAGUGGAAGCGUUGAUAAUCCUCCUAUUGUUUUAAUUCAUGGCUUCCCUUCGCAGGAAUAUUCUUAUCGCAAAGUUCUUCCUGUACUCUCCAAGGACUAUCAUGCCAUUGGUUUUGAUUGGCUAGAGAGAGAGACCAAGAGAGAGACGAACAAAGAGGGAGAGCAGGAGCUCUCUGCUCCACGCACCAAAAUGAAAUGAAUUGUAAAUGAAGAAGAAAUGAUGGUAAGAAGACAAAAAUAGAGGCCACUCACAUGGGUUUGUUUUCUAAAAUUUGAUUUUUUUAAAAAAAUAUAAUUUUUGUAAUAAUACUUCAAAAUUUUAUAAUAUAAAUUAUAAAAUGAUAUAAUUUUUUCACACCACAAAAUAUAAUAUUUUGAUCAUUACG